This 465-nucleotide ribosomal RNA is filed under the name uncultured bacterium. Its description in RNAcentral is "partial 16S ribosomal RNA". It matches the Rfam family "Bacterial small subunit ribosomal RNA", at positions 338 to 795 of the family's 1533-position model. The record is from RNAcentral.
CCUACGGGGGGCAGCAGUGGGGAAUAUUGCGCAAUGGGCGAAAGCCUGACGCAGCGACGCCGCGUGAGGGAUGAAGGUCUUCGGAUCGUAAACCUCUGUCAGCAGGGAAGAACGGUCACUGUGCUAAUCAGCAGUGAAUUGACGGUACCUGCAAAGGAAGCACCGGCUAACUCCGUGCCAGCAGCCGCGGUAAUACGGAGGGUGCGAGCGUUAAUCGGAUUUACUGGGCGUAAAGCGCGCGCAGGCGGUAUGUCAAGUCAAGGGUGAAAUCCCCGGGCUCAACGUGGGAAUUGCAUUUGAAACUGGCAAACUGGAGUGUGUGAGAGGAUAGUGGAAUUCCAGGUGUAGCGGUGAAAUGCGUAGAUAUCUGGAGGAACAGCAGUGGCGAAGGCGACUAUCUGGCACAUAACUGACGCUGAGGAGCGAAAGCGUGGGUAGCAAACAGGAUUAGAUACCCGGGUAGUC